GAUAGACACUCAGAUGAAAUGCAUGCAUUUAGAGAGAUAACGGAAUGGAAAGUGCACGAGGAUAGAACGCUGUGCAAAAUUAUGGAUCAUCGUCACGAGGUAUAAGAGAUCGAAGAACGAGUCACCGAACAGAUUGUACGGGAAUGCUUGACUAUGUAAUUUAGUAAACAUAAUUUAAUGUUUUCGUUUCAUAAACGAGUCAAUUUAUGCAUUUAAUGUAAAGUGUUUAUUUUCAAAAUAAACUAUCGAGUAGGUUCAAGACGUCUAUAAUGAAAGAAAUUUUAUGGUACGAAUUUCCGCUGCGACUUUCUGUCAAAUACGU
Molecule: long non-coding RNA, 322 nt
Filed under: Helianthus annuus (common sunflower)
Lineage: Eukaryota; Viridiplantae; Streptophyta; Magnoliopsida; Asterales; Asteraceae
Description: hypothetical non coding rna
Source: RNAcentral